RNAcentral lists this long non-coding RNA (761 nucleotides) under Nicotiana benthamiana. Its description in RNAcentral is "long non-coding RNA (NBEN_LNC020644)". The record is from RNAcentral. Lineage: Eukaryota; Viridiplantae; Streptophyta; Magnoliopsida; Solanales; Solanaceae.
UCCUUCAAAGGGGAGGUGGCAGAGAAACUAAUUUCACCUAACUCAAAGUGUGUGGAAGGCUGAGAAAAUAUAAAAAGCUACUUAAAUUUUACAUAUGUUAAUUUUCCAUUGGUUGUUACAUUUAAUUACCCUUAUUAAGUUGUAUUUGGUGUAAUACUAACUCUUUUUAUUUCAUUUUCCAGUUUUCAUUUCUUCUCCUUCCUCUUUCCUGUUUUUAUCUUUUAAGUUCUGCAAAAAUAUUUGGGAAUCUAUUUCUCACAGCCCUUAGCAUAAGGCUAUUUUAAUCCUUGUUAGAUAAAUCCAUUUCGGAGCCGUGUUCCCAAUUGCAGAAUCAACAAUUUCCAUCUCUUUUUUUGCAUAUGAAAAAUGAAACCCACCAUUAAACCUCUCAGAACUCAAUUCUUACUUCUACUGCUUCUUCUACUGUUAUCGGCAAGCGGGUUUACUUUUGGGAGAUACAAUUCGAAAGCCAUUGAGUAGUAGGAGAACCCAAAUCGGGUACCCAAAUGCGACAAUAUUGGGUCAAAAUCUAAUUGUGUGCAGAAGCAAGAUUGUCGAUGGUGUAAAAGUGAAGUUCUUUUUUACACUUGUUUCUCUAAAUUUGAAGCUUCUAGAUUACCCUCUCAGAUCUUUCACUUGUCAUGUUGUUAAAUUGAGAUAAAAGUGAAAAGAAAAAGUUACCUUGUUGUUUUUAGUUUUUGUUUUUAAUUUUGUUCCUUUUUCCCCAUGAAUUUUGAGUUUUUUGGAUAAGUUAAUUUGAG